This 219-nucleotide long non-coding RNA is filed under the name Gossypium raimondii (Peruvian cotton). Its description in RNAcentral is "long non-coding RNA (GRAI_LNC000654)". Lineage: Eukaryota; Viridiplantae; Streptophyta; Magnoliopsida; Malvales; Malvaceae. The record is from RNAcentral.
GGGUUUUUUCCUUUUUUUUACAUACGCAAUAUCAAUAUACAAAAAAAAAAGACUGGGUUUCGAAGGUGAUUUUCGAGUUUUUUUCUCGUUCUGUUCUUGCUCUUUUUUCAUAUACACACAUACUGAGUACAAAGAAAAGGGGGGGGGGAUUCACCAUUUCUUUUGCAUCUUGCACUGCACCUUUUUAUUUUUUUCUUUUUUUCUUAUAUACGAAAAGUA